This 443-nucleotide ribosomal RNA is filed under the name uncultured bacterium. Its description in RNAcentral is "bacterial SSU rRNA". It matches the Rfam family "Bacterial small subunit ribosomal RNA", at positions 958 to 1400 of the family's 1533-position model. The record is from RNAcentral.
AACGCGAAGAACCUUACCUGGGCUCGAAAUGCAGGAGACCGGGGUAGAAAUAUCCUUUCCCCGCAAGGGGCUGCUGUAUAGGUGCUGCAUGGCUGUCGUCAGCUCGUGUCGUGAGAUGUUGGGUUAAGUCCCGCAACGAGCGCAACCCUCAUCCCUAGUUGCCAUCAGGUCAAGCUGGGCACUCUAGUGAAACCGCCCCGGAUAACGGGGAGGAAGGUGGGGAUGACGUCAAGUCCUCAUGGCCUUUAUGUCCAGGGCUACACACGUGCUACAAUGGUCGGUACAAACCGUCGCAAAACUGCAAAGUGGAGCUAAUCGGAAAAAGCCGGCCUCAGUUCGGAUUGGAGUCUGCAACUCGACUCCAUGAAGCUGGAAUCGCUAGUAAUCGCAGAUCAGAACGCUGCGGUGAAUACGUUCCCGGGCCUUGUACACACCGGUAUCUC